This 300-nucleotide unclassified non-coding RNA is filed under the name Hevea brasiliensis (rubber tree). The record is from RNAcentral. Lineage: Eukaryota; Viridiplantae; Streptophyta; Magnoliopsida; Malpighiales; Euphorbiaceae.
UCGCCCUCAAGUCUCCUUCUUCUCCUCCUUCUUUCCUCUUCCUCUUCGCUCUAUUCCAAACCCAUCUCUUACAAAUCGACUCUAGUUCCUCUUGUCUCUUGACUCUUGUCCUCGUCCUUGGCUCCUUGCACCUCGCCGUCGUUAACCCAAUUCCAUCCCUUUCUCUCUAGCCUCUUCAACCACUCAAAUGGCCAAACCUAGAUGCUGGUUCCUGCAUUCAUUGGUUGUUGCUUGUAAGUUGUUUUGAUGAUUGAGGCAUGGGUUCUUGAAAUCUCGGCUUCUCUUCCAUGUACAUCAGCA